UACGAAGGGGGCUAGCGUUGCUCGGAAUCACUGGGCGUAAAGGGUGCGUAGGUGGCGUCGUAAGUCGGGUGUGAAAUUUCGGAGCUCAACUCCGAAACUGCAUUCGAUACUGCGGUGCUUGAGGACUGGAGAGGAGACUGGAAUUUACGGUGUAGCAGUGAAAUGCGUAGAGAUCGUAAGGAAGACCAGUGGCGAAGGCGGGUCUCUGGACAGUUCCUGACACUGAGGCACGAAGGCCAGGGGAGCAAACGGG
This 253-nucleotide ribosomal RNA is filed under the name uncultured prokaryote. RNAcentral's name for it is "partial 16S ribosomal RNA". It matches the Rfam family "Bacterial small subunit ribosomal RNA", at positions 524 to 776 of the family's 1533-position model. The record is from RNAcentral.